This 437-nucleotide ribosomal RNA is filed under the name uncultured bacterium. RNAcentral's name for it is "bacterial SSU rRNA". It matches the Rfam family "Bacterial small subunit ribosomal RNA", at positions 954 to 1392 of the family's 1533-position model. The record is from RNAcentral.
AUGGGAACGCGAAGAACCUUACCUAGACUUGACAUCUCCUGAAUAGUGUAGAGAUACAUGAAGCCCUUCGGGGCAGGAAGACAGGUGGUGCAUGGUUGUCGUCAGCUCGUGUCGUGAGAUGUUGGGUUAAGUCCCGCAACGAGCGCAACCCUUAUUACUAGUUGCUACCAUUAAGUUGAGCACUCUAGUGAGACUGCCCGGGGUUAACCGGGAGGAAGGCGGGGAUGACGUCAAAUCAUCAUGCCCCUUAUGUCUAGGGCAGCACACGUGCUACAAUGGUGGGAACAAAGAGAUGCAAUACCGCAAGGUGGAGCUAAACUCAAAACCCCAUCCCAGUUCGGAUUGUAGGCUGCAACUCGCCUACAUGAAGUUGGAGUUGCUAGUAAUCGCGAAUCAGAAUGUCGCGGUGAAUACGUUCCCGGGUCUUGUACACACCG